Molecule: ribosomal RNA, 262 nt
Filed under: uncultured bacterium
Lineage: Bacteria
Description: partial 16S ribosomal RNA
Rfam family: Bacterial small subunit ribosomal RNA
Source: RNAcentral
UUAGUGGCGGACGGGUGAGUAACGCGUGGAAAACCUGCCGUAUACUGGGGGAUAACACUUAGAAAUAGGUGCUAAUACCGCAUAAGCGCACAGCUUCGCAUGAAGCGGUGUGAAAAACUCUGGUGGUAUACGAUGGUUCCGCGUCUGAUUAGCUAGUUGGUGGGGUAAUGGCCUACCAAGGCAACGAUCAGUAGCCGGCCUGAGAGGGUGAACGGCCACAUUGGGACUGAGACACGGCCCAAACUCUUACGGAAGGCAGCAG